UAGACGUUUAUAGGAGUAGUCCCCCCUUGCCAGGCAUUACUCGCCCCUCCCAUCUUCUCCUGAGUGCUCAUGCAAGGCCAAAGCCACAUUGGGGAUCUUCCAAUAAUUGAUGAUUACAUAGAUAGUUCUGAUAGCGAACUUGACCGUGCAGAAGCUAGGGGGUCAGCUGGGAGUGGGGGUGGAAAGGAUUGGUGUCCUAGCCUGAGCGAGGACACGGCGGCUGAGCACCCGAAAGCUCCACACACAACUACGCGGAAGCGCAGGGCUCCUUCACAGCUUAGUGAUACCAAAUAAGUAUGGAUUUCUAUUAUAUUGCAAUGUACUCGACUACUUUUGAGGUUUCAUCAAGUUGUUUUUCAUUUCUUCCUUUCUUUUCUUGAGUCCGGCGAGGAAGGCUCCUCGAUCAACGGCAUCUGGGGAUGAUGCCAAGACGGGAACGAAAGUCCCCUCCACACUGGAGGACCCAUCAACGGAGACAAGGAUCACUCUGCCAGACACUGCUACCUCGGCGAGUGGUUCGAAUAAGGAAGCUGCCGCCCAAGGGGAGAAAGGUGCGGCCACCAGCGAGUCCUCGGCAACGUCGGGUACCAUGGUGGUAUAGCCUCAGCCUCUUCGCAAGCUGACGGCACGAGGGAAACUCCCCAUCAAGAAGGCGACCUUGCGAGCCUUGGUGUGGAGGGUACAAGCGGCAGUGCGUCCGCAGCCCCCAAACCCACGGAAGCGGCUCCCAAGGAUGCCCCAGACACAGACGCCUAGUCUGCGGAAGAACUAGUGCCGUCCAUGCUCCGAGACUCGACAUAUCCUGACGUCGAUGAAGACCGGUAGCCAUUGGAGGAGAUCCCCACAGGUCCACCUCCACAAGAGGAUCCUGUGAGGAAGACUAUCGCUGAGCCUCGCCGGGAGGUUGUGACGUUGCUGGUGGUGGGGGCGAGUACUUCCAAUGCUCCAGCAGGGAGUACCCCGCCACCAGCCGAGAAGAUCAAGCUUGCACAGGAAAGUAUGGAGAAAUGCUAGAAACUUGUGCAAGGCCAGAUGUCUGAGUGCCAGAAGAUCAUGGCGGAGAUGGCCGAGCAAGAGAGCAGCAAGCCCCCAGAGGGCCAGGAGCUUCUCGCUCCGAGAGAGCAGGUGUCCAAGCUUACAGUGCACAAGGAGGCUCUCGAGGAGCGAGUGGCUGCUCAGAGUGAGAAGCAUAAGAAAUGCUCAAAAGAGCAAAGAGCACUCUGAAAAUCAUUGAAGAUUCAGGAGAGUAUGGUGCUAGAUUUAAAGCUUCUUAUGUACCAUCGUGCAGAUGAAAUCGAGAAGCUUCAAAAGAUGAAGGCCGACUAUGACGUGCAGCUGGUCGAGAUGUUGCAACAUGUCAAGGACUUGUCAGAGUCCAAUACCUCGUUGCAGCAUGAACUUGAUGAGCUAAAGGUCGUAACUCAAGCUAUUGUGGACAUGGUGGACAUCUCCGAGGAGGAUGCCGAGGCCCAUUCUUCUUGGUGGAACAACUUCAAAAAGUUCCCCAAGGAAUCAUGAAGUACCUCUCGAAGACCACCCGACAGUACGUGUCACACGUGCUCGGGUUGGUGAAGUUCUACUUGCCACAGGCUAACCUGGCUCCACUUGGCGAAGGCGAAGGCCUGAAUCCCGACUCUGACGAAGGCAAGUUCGACGAGUACCUUGGGGAGGUCAAGCCGGUAGCCGACAGGAUAGCCGACAGCUUGGAGCAGGACGCCUGAAUCUGAACUUAUGUGUUGUAAUAUCUUGCUGUGAGAUACUUUAUUGGCCAGUGUGCCACAAACACUCUUGUCGUGUACAAAUUUCAAUUUAUUUUGUAUUAAGUCACGAUGCUUGAGUGUUCCUUA
RNA transcript from Panicum virgatum (switchgrass), 1847 nucleotides. RefSeq lists it as uncharacterized. The record is from RefSeq and is a predicted model, not a curated record. The transcript is spliced from 5 exons. NCBI's taxonomy places the organism in Eukaryota, Viridiplantae, Streptophyta, Magnoliopsida, Poales, Poaceae.